RNAcentral lists this unclassified non-coding RNA (1155 nucleotides) under Agrilus planipennis (emerald ash borer). RNAcentral describes it as "wD repeat-containing protein 46-like, transcript variant X1". Lineage: Eukaryota; Metazoa; Arthropoda; Insecta; Coleoptera; Buprestidae. The record is from RNAcentral.
ACAUGUUGUAUAAUCACAAUCUACAAGCUUUGACAUUACUAGAACCCAUAUUUUAAGAAGCAAUUAUGAAGAGCUGCUCUGUUGUUCGUGAAAAUAACAAAAACAAACAUUUCAAACCAACCAAGGAACCCAUGUUUUCUGACUACUUACAAGGAAAUCCUGUUAAAACAAUAACACAAAAAUGAACAAAGUUCCACGAUAUUUUGAGAAAGUAGAAGAUUCAAAUGAAACUCAAAAUAAAGAUAUUAAACCGAAAAAAGAAUUUAAGAAGGAUAUUGUGUUUAAUAUUGACGUGAAACCAAAACCAUGGGGUCGUAGAAGGGAAGAUAAUCGAAUCAGAAAGGAACAAAGAAAUCCAAAUAAAAUAAGUAGAAAGAAUGUUAAGUACAGUGCUAAUACAAAACCAAAACUAUGGGAUCAUAGAACAAGAGAUGGUGGAGUUAAAAAAAUCAAAUAUGUUCCAAAUCCUAAUCCUAAGUUUCCUGGUCGUGUUCCCAUACCUAAACAAAAACUACAGAGGCAUAGUAGAGGUGAAGGCAUAGAGAAAAAAGGAAUUCGAACAGGUGUGCACAGGAAGAAAUUUGAAAAGAAAGAAAGAAAUAUUAAAUUAGCAACUGAAUUAGCAGCCACAGGAAGUAGAUGCUGGUGAAUCGAGCACUCAGUUUACACAGAAAGAGAUUGCAGCUAGUGUUGAUAUUAUAUCAGCUACAAAAUACUUUGAAUUACAUCUGCAUGAAUUCGGCCCCUAUCGUGCGAAAUAUACUCGCAAUGGAAGACCUACUUUUGGGUGGUAAAAUGGGGCACGUUGCCUAUGAGGGCACCUUCAUCUAAACAUCCGCUUGUUAAAAUGCUCUGCCACAAGUCACCAUUAACUGCACUCCACAUUGAUCCCAGAGGAAUAUACAUGGCAACUGCUGCCACUGAUAAAAGCAUUAAAGUGUGGGAUGUAAGACAACUGGAUGAACCUUUGCAAAAUUAUACUGUGAGGUCUGCUGCUGAAUGUAUCAAUUUCUCUCACACAAACAUGUUGUCCUGGGCAUGGGAAAUAUUAUCGAGUUUAUAGGGAUUGUUGUACAAAAACUGCAAAAAGAGCUUAUCUGCGGCAUCGACUGACAGGCUUUGUGAGCAAUAUGGAUUUUUGUCCAUUUGAAGAUG